This 1026-nucleotide long non-coding RNA is filed under the name Cucumis sativus (cucumber). RNAcentral's name for it is "long non-coding RNA (CSAT_LNC000121)". Lineage: Eukaryota; Viridiplantae; Streptophyta; Magnoliopsida; Cucurbitales; Cucurbitaceae. The record is from RNAcentral.
GAGAAGAUGGGGCUUGAAAAAUUGGGGAAAUUGCUGGACCAAAAUCGAUACGGAUUGAAGCGCAAUGCUGGGUCGGAUAGUCUACUGACAGCUUCUUCACAUUUAGAAUGAUACAAAGCUUUGAUUUGGAUUCCAAGAUAUCAAGAUUUAUCAUCACAUUUGGUUCAAAUCCCUUAUGGCGUCGCCCCGCGUUUGCUCCAAUUUCUUACGCCAUCCCAUUUGCUCCAAUUUCUUCUUACAUUACGUAUCACUCAUUUAUUAGUGUAAUUUGUAAGAAUCUUUUUUUUUUUUUAGUGUAAUUCAUUCUGUUUAAUGGAAUAGAUUAAAAAACAAGCAGCCUCUGCACAAUUAGCAGAUUUUGUUUAUAGUUGAGAUUUGAUUUGAUAACGACCCAUUAAUAUCUAAUUAACAAAAAUUCUGUUGGCUUAUCAUAUGCUUUAAUUUUGGGGUUACUAACUUCCUAGACUACAAUGCUUUGACUUUAUUACAUUAUUUAAGUAUUGAAUCACUAAACAUUAGGGAUCAUUGUAGUUGUUAAUGACAGUUUUGAUGGAAGGAUGUGUGACCUUUUUGUUAUUUAAGUGAAGUCAAAAGAAGAGAAUAUAUGUCAAUGCCAUAAUCCCAAGUAAUUAAUGAUAAUUACUUAAUGCUCUAUUAAUUUCCCUUCAAUCACAAAUAUGAUACAUAAACAUCACAAAACAACAAACCAUAUAUGUAAUUCAACUGCAAACCUGAAACAGAGUAUAGCAUAUAUAAUCUGAUUUACCACUUAGUCAAUCAUAUAAUGUUAGUUUUUCAUGUAUAUAUUAUAUAAGGAGCAUAAAGUUGAUGAGAACUCAAACUCUCUUAGGUUGGGUCUACGUUAAAGUUGUUGGUGCUUCUCAUUCUUGUCUUCUUAAUUUAAUGUUGAGACGAGAUUCUUUAUAAGAUCUAAUUUUUUCAGCUGCUCGGCGUAAUGGCCUUCCAAUUGAAGUUCUUUGCAAAGCUGAAACUUCUUCAGAUCUGGGGGAGGAUGGUGAGUUCUUU